This 805-nucleotide long non-coding RNA is filed under the name Chinchilla lanigera (long-tailed chinchilla). RNAcentral's name for it is "lncRNA (ENSCLAG00000028639.1)". The record is from RNAcentral. Lineage: Eukaryota; Metazoa; Chordata; Mammalia; Rodentia; Chinchillidae.
UAACCGUGAGAAUGAGUUUGUUCUCUACAUACUACAUAGAAGGGUAUAUGAAAUGCUAGUAGUGAAACAAAUCAAGAUGAAGAAUAAAGUGACCCAAGUAUAAGGACAUAUUAUACAUACGUGUUAUAAAAGUAUUGCCCCAAAAAGGGUGGGGGGAGUUGAUCAUCCCCAGGAAGGGUAGUUUGAGGCAACAGGACAAACUCCCUCACUGUGGCUAAACCCAUACGUCUGGCCUGUGUGCAAGCCAGCCAGUUUCAGGACCUGAGAGAUCAGGACACACACAGGCCAGGAAGCCCUAUAAGCCCCCAACACCAUCUCAGGCUCAGAUGGGUUUAAGUAUUCUUCUAUCAUCCUCUGCCUCUGAGGGCUUCGAGGCCACAAUCAGACGGGCAAGGCUUAGCCACUGCCAAGCAGGGACCCACUCUGCCUGCACCCAAACUCUGAAGACCCAAGAGGACAUUGUGAGGCCUGGACCCUCAGAGGUCACUGAGGCCCGGGAGACCCGCCUCCCUCUGGUGUAGGAGGUGGGCUGUGGCAAAGCUGCUGGAGAAGUGGGCGGGACCUGUAAAUUACAAGACCCCAGGGCCGCUCCAGACAAUUUUCAGGACUCCGCGAGAUGUGGACAGAAGACCAGACGCCCUGGGAACUCACUGUCUUCACUCUUCGUGGUAGCCCUCCCAGACCCAGGCCAUACUUUUCUCUUUGCUCUUUUUCACUUAACCCCACCUUGUUUGGCCCAAGUUCACUCUGCAGAACCAAUUCUUCCCUUACCCUUUCACCCCUCAUUUUAGAAUAAACAUUUGGC